CCCAAUGUAAGGGCCCGUAAAAAGGCCCCUACGUCUUUAUCACCAACUCUGUAUUCAUNNNNNNNNAUCCAUAUCUUCGCCUUAACAAGCGUUGGUAAAACUUAUACAACUUUCAACAACGGAUCUCUUGGCUCUCGCAUCGAUGAAGAACGCAGCGAAAUGCGAUAAGUAAUGUGAAUUGCAGAUUUUCAGUGAAUCAUCGAAUCUUUGAACGCACCUUGCGCCCCUUGGUAUUCCGAGGGGCAUGCCUGUUUGAGUGUCAUUAAAUUCUCAACUCCGAUUUGAUUUGUUUCUUAUCGGAGCUUGGACUUUGGAGCGUGCUGGCGUAAGGUCGGCUCCUCUUAAAUGUAUCAGCGGAAUCUAACCUUUGGAUUCUGGACAUCGGNGUGAUAAUAAAAGUUGCGCCGUCGUUCUACUUCAAAGUCCGCUUACAAUGGUCUUUUGACAAACUCUUAUCAAAUUUGACCUCAAAUCAGGUANNNNNACCCNCUGAACUUAAGCAUAUCAAUAAGCGGAGGAAAAGAAACUAACANGGAUUCCCCUAGUAACUGCGAGUGAAGCGGGAAAAGCUCAAAUUUAAAAUCUGGNNGGUCUCC
This 596-nucleotide ribosomal RNA is filed under the name uncultured fungus. Its description in RNAcentral is "eukaryotic LSU rRNA". The stretch from base 108 to 262 matches the Rfam family "5.8S ribosomal RNA". The record is from RNAcentral. Lineage: Eukaryota; Fungi.